This 119-nucleotide ribosomal RNA is filed under the name Pteropus alecto (black flying fox). The record is from RNAcentral. Lineage: Eukaryota; Metazoa; Chordata; Mammalia; Chiroptera; Pteropodidae.
GUCUACAGCCAUGGCACCCUGAACAUGCCCGAUCUCAUCUGAUCUCGGAAGCUAAGCAAGGUCGGGCCUGGUUAGUACUUGGAUGGGAGACCACCUAGGAAGACCAAGUGCUGUAGGCA